GUGCGCUGUAUUUGUGUUGACUUGUCGCAUAGUAUUCGCUGAUAGAAUUGUUAGACUUGUUUAAACUUGUCACGUAGGAUUCGUUGCUAGAUUUGCUUAGACUUCGGGUUGGUUAUCCUGUGUGUGUGUAAAACUAACGUCGUUUUAGUGUCUGCAAACAGUGCUUCACUUGUUUUAGAGUAUUAUUUAUUGCUAAAGUGCAGCAUAAUUUAUUUGCGCUGUACAGAAGUUGCGUUUGUUCCAGCGCAACCCUGAGUUUCGGUUUCGGGUGACCACGUGACUAGCUUUGUUGUGAUAAGUAGCAUUAAGGCGUGGCUGCUUUUUUCCACUUAACGGCUCGUAAAAGUGGUUAUUUAUUGGACUUAAUGCUGACGCGGAAGCGGCAGCGGAAGUGGUGGCCCUCGGGUGAAGCCCUCCUCGGGUAAAGACCUACUUGGGUAAAGACCAGAGAGUCCACCGAGCAAGGACAUUGACAAGGCUCCACUCACCAAAGCACUUAAACCGUUCACAAGAUACAGAUGCAAGACAAAACGCAACCCACACAACCUAUGGCCGCUUUGCACUUCAACACCUGCUCCACUCUCAUUCUCAGUGGGACUCUGGAACUGCCAGUCUGCUGUGAACAAAGCUGCCUUCAUUCCAGCUUUUGCCACGCAGUCCACCCUCAGCAUCCUGGCACUGACAGAGACAUGGAUACGUCCUGAGGAUACAGCAACACCUGCUGCCCUCUCCAACAACUUCUCCUUCUCCCACACCCCUCGACAUACUGGUAGGGGUGGGGGAACAGGUUUGCUCAUUCAUAAUAACUGGACUUUUUCACCACAGGCUUCACUAUGUAACAAUACAUCUUUUGAAUUCCAUGCUAUUACUACAAUGCAACCCACAAAAUUACAUGUUGUUGUCAUCUAUCGCCCCCCAGGUCAGCUGACAAGCUUUCUUGAGGAAUUGGAUGUCCUGCUGUCCUCCUUGACAGAGGAUGGCAGGCCACUUGUGGUUCUUGGUGAUUUCAACAUACACCAAGACAAACCCCAGGCCAUUGAACUGAAUACUCUUCUGGCAUCAUUCGACUUGGAUAGAAUACACACCACAGCAACUCACAGACCAGCACGGACUACAUCACCCAGCCCCUGGCUGUCUGACGUCCUUCGUGAACAUCGGACUGAUCUCAGGGCAGCUGAGAGGAGAUGGCGGAAAUCUAAAGAUCCAGCUGAUCUAGAACAAGCUGCUGGAUGACAAUCAGUCAGGCUUCAAAAGUGGACACUCCACUGAGACUGCCCUGCUGUCUGUCAUCGAGACGCUGAGACAGGCGAAAGCUGAAUCCAGAUCAUCCGUUCUGAUUCUGCUGGACCUUUCUGCUGCCUUCGACACAGUCAACCAUCAGCUCCUACUCUCCACCCUCUCUAACUGGCCCAACGACACCACAGUGACCGCUCGAAUCGCUGCCUGUCUGGCAGACAUCUCAGCCUGGAUGAAGGAACACCACCUUCAACUCAACCCUGCCAAGACCGAACUCCUUGUCUUUCAAGCCAACCCGGCUGUUGAACACAACAUCACCGUGCAGCUGGGUCCAACUACAGUUUCGCCUUCCAAAACGGUCAGAAAUCUAGGGGUAACCAUUGAUGAUGAGCUAAAUUUCACAGACCACAUUUCAAAAACUGCAAGAUCAUGUAGAUUUACACUCUACAAUAUCAGGAAGAUAAGACCCUUCCUCUCUGUACAUGCCACACAACUGCUCGUUCAGUCCCUUGUCAUAACUAGACUGGACUACUGUAACGCUCUCAUUGCAGGCCUCCCUGCAUGUGCUAUUAGACCUCUGCAAAUGAUCCAGAAUGCAGCAGCACGUCUGGUCUUUAAUGAACCUAAGAGAGCACAUGUUACACCACUCUUUGUCUCUCUCCACUGGCUGCUGGUUCAUGCACGUAUUAAAUUCAAGGCCCUGAUGCUGGCAUAUAAAACAGUCACUGGGUCUGCUCCAGCAUACCUAAAAACAUUUAUGCAGAGCUACGUUCCCACCAGAAGCCUGUGGUCAGCUAAGGAACGUCGCCUUGUCGUACCAAAACAAAGAGGCACCAAAACACUUUCCCGGACUUUCAGUUUCAUCAUACCACGGUGGUGGAAUGACCUUCCCAACUCAAUCCGGGAAGCUAACUCACUCUCCAUCUUCAAAAAACGGCUAAAAACACAUCUUUUCCAAAAGCACUUAACCGGUCACUAAAAAAAAUAAUUACAUUUUUUUUUUAAAAAUAAUUUACAUUUCUUGUUGCACUUAAAUCUGUUUUGUAUACUAUUCUGAUGACAGUGAAACUUUGUAAUAUGGCACUUUUUUGUACCACUGUCUCCCUAAGAUGAU
Xyrauchen texanus (razorback sucker) is the source of this 2350-nucleotide RNA transcript. RefSeq lists it as uncharacterized. The record is from RefSeq and is a predicted model, not a curated record. NCBI's taxonomy places the organism in Eukaryota, Metazoa, Chordata, Actinopteri, Cypriniformes, Catostomidae. The transcript has 5 exons.